Molecule: ribosomal RNA, 919 nt
Filed under: uncultured bacterium
Lineage: Bacteria
Description: bacterial SSU rRNA
Rfam family: Bacterial small subunit ribosomal RNA
Source: RNAcentral
AGAGUUUGAUCCUGGCUCAGAUUGAACGCUGGCGGCAGGCCUAACACAUGCAAGUCGAACGGUAACAGGAAGAAGCUUGCUUCUUUGCUGACGAGUGGCGGACGGGUGAGUAAUGUCUGGGAAACUGCCUGAUGGAGGGGGAUAACUACUGGGAACGGUAGCUAAUACCGCAUAACGUCGCAAGACCAAAGAGGGGGACCUUCGGGCCUCUUGCCAUCGGAUGUGCCCAGAUGGGAUUAGCUAGUAGGUGGGGUAACGGCUCACCUAGGCGACGAUCCCUAGCUGGUCUGAGAGGAUGACCAGCCACACUGGAACUGAGACACGGUCCAGACUCCUACGGGAGGCAGCAGUGGGGAAUAUUGCACAAUGGGCGCAAGCCUGAUGCAGCCAUGCCGCGUGUAUGAAGAAGGCCUUCGGGUUGUAAAGUACUUUCAGCGGGGAGGAAGGGAGUAAAGUUAAUACCUUUGCUCAUUGACGUUACCCGCAGAAGAAGCACCGGCUAACUCCGUGCCAGCAGCCGCGGUAAUACGGAGGGUGCAAGCGUUAAUCGGAAUUACUGGGCGUAAAGCGCACGCAGGCGGUUUGUUAAGUCAGAUGUGAAAUCCCCGGGCUCAACCUGGGAACUGCAUCUGAUACUGGCAAGCUUGAGUCUCGUAGAGGGGGUUAGAAUUCCAGGUGUAGCGGUGAAAUGCGUAGAGAUCUGGAGGAAUACCGGUGGCGAAGGCGGCCCCCUGGACGAAGACUGACGCUCAGGUGCGAAAGCGUGGGGAGCAAACAGGAUUAGAUACCCCGGUAGUCCACGCCGUAAACGAUGUCGACUUGGAGGUAGUGCCCUUGAGGCGUGGCUUCCGGAGCUAACGCGUUAAGUCGACCGCCUGGGGAGUACGGCCGCAGGGUUAAAACUCAAAGGAAUUGACGG